CAACUACUCCCUCUGUCCCAGAAAUCUUGUCUUAAAUUUGUGGAUACGGAUAUAUCUAGACAAGUUUUAGUGUUAGAUUCAUCUAUAUGUAGAUAGAUCUAAGACAAGAUUUUUAGGACGGAGGUAAUAUAAU
Triticum aestivum (bread wheat) is the source of this 133-nucleotide non-coding RNA. The record is from Rfam. NCBI's taxonomy places the organism in Eukaryota, Viridiplantae, Streptophyta, Magnoliopsida, Poales, Poaceae.